This 253-nucleotide ribosomal RNA is filed under the name uncultured bacterium. RNAcentral's name for it is "partial 16S ribosomal RNA". It matches the Rfam family "Bacterial small subunit ribosomal RNA", at positions 524 to 776 of the family's 1533-position model. The record is from RNAcentral.
UACGUAGGGACCAAGCGUUGUCCGGAAUCAUUGGGCGUAAAGAGCGUGUAGGCGGUUCGGUAAGUCGGCUGUGAAAGUCCAGGGCUCAACCCUGGGAUGCCGGUCGAUACUGCCGGACUAGAGUUCGGAAGAGGCGAGUGGAAUUCCCGGUGUAGCGGUGAAAUGCGCAGAUAUCGGGAGGAACACCUAUGGCGAAGGCAGCUCGCUGGGACGUUACUGACGCUGAGACGCGAAAGCGUGGGGAGCAAACAGG